Molecule: ribosomal RNA, 470 nt
Filed under: uncultured Pseudomonadota bacterium
Lineage: Bacteria; Pseudomonadati; Pseudomonadota
Description: bacterial SSU rRNA
Rfam family: Bacterial small subunit ribosomal RNA
Source: RNAcentral
AGAGUUUGAUCAUGGCUCAGAGCGAACGCUGGCGGCAGGCUUAACACAUGCAAGUCGAGCGGGCGUAGCAAUACGUCAGCGGCAGACGGGUGAGUAACGCGUGGGAACAUACCUUUUGGUUCGGAACAACACAGGGAAACUUGUGCUAAUACCGGAUAAGCCCUUACGGGGAAAGAUUUAUCGCCGAAAGAUUGGCCCGCGUCUGAUUAGCUAGUUGGUGAGGUAACGGCUCACCAAGGCGACGAUCAGUAGCUGGUCUGAGAGGAUGAUCAGCCACAUUGGGACUGAGACACGGCCCAAACUCCUACGGGAGGCAGCAGUGGGGAAUAUUGGACAAUGGGCGCAAGCCUGAUCCAGCCAUGCCGCGUGAGUGAUGAAGGCCCUAGGGUUGUAAAGCUCUUUUGUGCGGGAAGAUAAUGACGGUACCGCAAGAAUAAGCCCCGGCUAACUUCGUGCCAGCAGCCGCGGUA